UUGGAGGGCAGUCUGGUGCCAGCAGCCGCGGUAAUUCCAGCUCCAAUAGCGUAUAUUAAAGUUGUUGCAGUUAAAAAGCUCGUAGUUGAACUUCGGGGUCUACCCAUUGGUCAGGCUUAAUUGUCUGUACUGGUGAGAUGGAUCUCUAUUCCUCUGAGGAACUUUCAUGCCAUUUAUUUGGUGUGAUGGGAAAUCAGGACUGUUACUUUGAAAAAAUUAGAGUGUUUAAAGCAGACUAUCGUCUGAAUACAUUAGCAUGGAAUAAUGAAAUAGGACGGACUGAUUCUAUUUCAUUGGUUUCUAGGAUCACCGUAAUGAUUAAUAGGGAUAGUUGGGGGCAUUAGUAUUCAAUUGUCAGAGGUGAAAUUCUUGGAUUUAUUGAAGACUAACUACUGCGAAAGCAUUUGCCAAGGAUGUUUUCAUUAAUCAAGAACGAAAGUUAGGGGAUCGAAGACGAUCAGAUACCGUCGUAGUCUUAACCAUAAACUAUGCCGACUAGGGAUCGGACGAAGUUAAUUUUAUAAUGACGCGUUCGGCGCCUUACGGGAAAC
RNAcentral lists this ribosomal RNA (551 nucleotides) under uncultured Glomeromycotina. RNAcentral's name for it is "SSU rRNA". It matches the Rfam family "Eukaryotic small subunit ribosomal RNA", at positions 548 to 1098 of the family's 1831-position model. The record is from RNAcentral. Lineage: Eukaryota; Fungi; Glomeromycota.